GAUGAACGCUGGCGGCGUGCCUAAUACAUGCAAGUCGAGCGAACGGACGAGAAGCUUGCUUCUCUGAUGUUAGCGGCGGACGGGUGAGUAACACGUGGAUAACCUACCUAUAAGACUGGGAUAACUUCGGGAAACCGGAGCUAAUACCGGAUAAUAUUUUGAACCGCAUGGUUCAAAAGUGAAAGACGGUCUUGCUGUCACUUAUAGAUGGAUCCGCGCUGCAUUAGCUAGUUGGUAAGGUAACGGCUUACCAAGGCAACGAUGCAUAGCCGACCUGAGAGGGUGAUCGGCCACACUGGAACUGAGACACGGUCCAGACCCCUACGGGAGGCAGCAGUAGGGAAUCUUCCGCAAUGGGCGAAAGCCUGACGGAGCAACGCCGCGUGAGUGAUGAAGGUCUUCGGAUCGUAAAACUCUGUUAUUAGGGAAGAACAUAUGCGUAAGUAACUGUGCACAUCUUGACGGUACCUAAUCAGAAAGCCACGGCUAACUACGUG
RNAcentral lists this ribosomal RNA (497 nucleotides) under uncultured bacterium. RNAcentral describes it as "partial 16S ribosomal RNA". It matches the Rfam family "Bacterial small subunit ribosomal RNA", at positions 28 to 507 of the family's 1533-position model. The record is from RNAcentral.